Molecule: unclassified non-coding RNA, 206 nt
Filed under: uncultured fungus
Lineage: Eukaryota; Fungi
Description: sequence contains ITS1
Source: RNAcentral
GUAUUAGUAGUGCUUGUGCACAACAAGAGUUUCAUUACAUUCGAGUGUGUAUGUAGAAAAUCCUCUGCCAGCCGAAGCUAGCAAGAGGCCAAAGGUUCACAGGGUAUUGGAUGAAAGUCACCAACGUGCACUUGCCGAAGCCGGCCAGCACUGAAGGCAACGAUUCGCAAUCAGUAAUGAUCCUUCCGCAGGUUCACCUACGGAAA